RNAcentral lists this ribosomal RNA (494 nucleotides) under uncultured bacterium. RNAcentral's name for it is "partial 16S ribosomal RNA". It matches the Rfam family "Bacterial small subunit ribosomal RNA", at positions 28 to 507 of the family's 1533-position model. The record is from RNAcentral.
GACGAACGCUGGCGGCGUGCUUAACACAUGCAAGUCGAACGGAAAGGCCUGCUUUCCCUUGUGGAUUGCGGGUACUCGAGUGGCGAACGGGUGAGUAACACGUGAGUGAUCUGCCCCCAACUUGGGUAUAAGCCUGGGAAACUGGGUCUAAUUCCCGAUAGGACUGCAGGGUGGUGCCUGUGGUGGAAAACGAUUUUCUAGUGGUUGGGGAUGAGCUCGCGGCCUAUCAGCUUGUUGGUGGGGUAAUGGCCUACCAAGGCGGCGACGGGUAGCCGGCCUGGGAGAGUGGACGGCCACAUUGGGACUGAGAUACGGCCCAGACUCCUACGGGAGGCAGCAGUGGGGAAUAUUGCACAAUGGACGGAAGCCUGAUGCAGCGACGCCGCGUGGGGGAUGACGGCCUUCGGGUUGUAAACUCCUUUCGGCCGCGAGGAAGCCACCUGGUUGGAAGGGUGGUGACGGUAGUGGUAGAAGAAGCACCGGCUAACUACGUG